Molecule: long non-coding RNA, 239 nt
Filed under: Brachypodium distachyon (stiff brome)
Lineage: Eukaryota; Viridiplantae; Streptophyta; Magnoliopsida; Poales; Poaceae
Description: long non-coding RNA (BDIS_LNC004992)
Source: RNAcentral
UGUGUUCUUGUGCUGUGAUUUCUUUUUCGUUCUUCGUUCAUGUUUGUCGGGUUCAUAUCAAGAAAUGUUAUAAUUUAUUUUGGCUAUGUACUUUUUAUCGAUGCACGAAAGACAAAGACUUGGCACGGAUUUAAACAUGUCAUUUCAACCUUAGCGGAUUCAAGUGAUCGCAAGCAGCGGCCAGCGGCAUGUUGUAAGAGGCUUUUUUUUGUAUUUAUUUAUUUCAUCCAAGACCAUGU